AAGGACAAAAUAUGAAACACCAAGAAAGAGAAGGAAAAAAAGAAGGAAACAGCCACAUAUGUCACCUUUCCGAGAGGGGCUGAAACCGGGCUGACCCUUUUGAUUUCCAAACUCAGCCUUUUGGUAUAAGGCGGCCAAAGAAGGAUGCAGAGCCCAGCACUGUGAAGCCUACAAAAACAUUGACACGCUGGCUUGGGGAUUUGAAUUUGAACGUCUUUCAUACCAAGUUCAGACUCAUGAAACCAAUCUUCAGAUGCUCUGUAAACCACAUAAUAAAGAGUUUGGAAAUUA
This is a long non-coding RNA of Cercocebus atys (sooty mangabey), 291 nucleotides long. RefSeq lists it as uncharacterized. Lineage: Eukaryota; Metazoa; Chordata; Mammalia; Primates; Cercopithecidae. The transcript has 2 exons. The record is from RefSeq and is a predicted model, not a curated record.